RNAcentral lists this transfer RNA (67 nucleotides) under Coleoptera sp. ACP-2013. Its description in RNAcentral is "tRNA-Trp". Lineage: Eukaryota; Metazoa; Arthropoda; Insecta; Coleoptera. The record is from RNAcentral.
UAAGGAUUUAAGUUAACUAAACUAUCAACCUUCAAAGUUGAAUAUAGAAAUUAUUAUUCUAAGCCUU